RNAcentral lists this ribosomal RNA (40 nucleotides) under Inocybe amblyospora. RNAcentral describes it as "partial 18S ribosomal RNA". Lineage: Eukaryota; Fungi; Basidiomycota; Agaricomycetes; Agaricales; Inocybaceae. The record is from RNAcentral.
GUAACAUGUUUCAGUAGGUGAACCUGCGGAAGUAUCAUUA